UACGUAGGGUGCGAGCGUUGUCCGGAAUUAUUGGGCGUAAAGAGCUUGUAGGCGGUCUGUCGCGUCUGCUGUGAAAACUUGGGGCUCAACCCCAAGCUUGCGGUCGAUACGGGCAGGCUAGAGUUCGGUAGGGGAGACUGGAAUUCCUGGUGUAGCGGUGAAAUGCGCAGAUAUCAGGAGGAACACCGGUGGCGAAGGCGGGUCUCUGGGCCGAUACUGACGCUGAGGAGCGAAAGCGUGGGGAGCGAACAGG
Molecule: ribosomal RNA, 253 nt
Filed under: uncultured bacterium
Lineage: Bacteria
Description: partial 16S ribosomal RNA
Rfam family: Bacterial small subunit ribosomal RNA
Source: RNAcentral